Molecule: long non-coding RNA, 108 nt
Organism: Syngnathus acus (greater pipefish)
Lineage: Eukaryota; Metazoa; Chordata; Actinopteri; Syngnathiformes; Syngnathidae
Exons: 3
Source: RefSeq, a predicted model, not a curated record
GCUAUACCCUGACUCAGCGUCUACCUUAGCAGGAGUUAGGCUUACUGCUGAAUUGGUGUUAGAAACACACACAAGGAGAGCAGGAAACUCCCCGAGGAUUGACAAUAA